GAUGAACGCUGGCGGCGUGCCUAAUACAUGCAAGUCGAGCGAACGGACGAGAAGCUUGCUUCUCUGAUGUUAGCGGCGGACGGGUGAGUAACACGUGGAUAACCUACCUAUAAGACUGGGAUAACUUCGGGAAACCGGAGCUAAUACCGGAUGAUAUUUUGAACCGCAUGGUUCAAAAGUGAAAGACGGUCUUGCUGUCACUUAUAGAUGGAUCCGCGCUGCAUUAGCUAGUUGGUAAGGUAACGGCUUACCAAGGCAACGAUGCAUAGCCGACCUGAGAGGGUGAUAGGCCACACUGGAACUGAGACACGGUCCAGACUCCUACGGGAGGCAGCAGUAGGGAAUCUUACGCAAUGGGCGAAAGCCUGACGGAGCAACGCCGCGUGAGUGAUGAAGGUCUUCGGAUCGUAAAACUCUGUUAUUAGGGAAGAACAUAUGUGUAAGUAACUGUGCACAUCUUGACGGUACCUAAUCAGAAAGCCACGGCUAACUACGUG
This 497-nucleotide ribosomal RNA is filed under the name uncultured bacterium. RNAcentral describes it as "partial 16S ribosomal RNA". It matches the Rfam family "Bacterial small subunit ribosomal RNA", at positions 28 to 507 of the family's 1533-position model. The record is from RNAcentral.